Molecule: ribosomal RNA, 377 nt
Filed under: uncultured Planctomycetota bacterium
Lineage: Bacteria; Pseudomonadati; Planctomycetota
Description: bacterial SSU rRNA
Rfam family: Bacterial small subunit ribosomal RNA
Source: RNAcentral
UAAGACGAACCGUCCAAACGUUAUUCGGAAUCACUGGGCUUAAAGAGUGCGUAGGCGGCCUAGAAAGUUGGGUGUGAAAUCCCACGGCUCAACCGUGGAACUGCGCUCAAAACUGCUAGGCUUGAGAGAGAUAGGGGUGAGCGGAACUAAUGGUGGAGCGGUGAAAUGCGUUGAUAUCAUUAGGAACACCGGUGGCGAAGGCGGCUCACUGGGUCUUUUCUGACGCUGAGGCACGAAAGCUAGGGUAGCGAACGGGAUUAGAUACCCCGGUAGUCCUAGCUGUAAACGAUGAGCACUAGGUCGAGGGGACUUCCACAUCUUCUCGGCCGUAGCGAAAGUGUUAAGUGCUCCGCCUGGGGAGUAUGGUCGCAAGGCUG